CGGGAAUAAUCAAAACUCUAUCAAGCUGCAAAAUUCAUAGAAUCUUACCGGAAAACUGCAGUACGGCCGGUAACAUGGAUUGAGUUUAUCAACACCAACAUGGAAAAAUAGAUUGCUAGUCACCAAGAAGAACUUGCGAGCUUCUUUGGAGAUGAAUGGUCUAGCACAAUGCAGAUGUUGGUGUUGCGAUUAGAAUGGUCUAAUUUGGUAAAGGAAUGAGCUUGAGAUUUGAGAAGAUUGUAUCGCUAUCCUACAUAGGAAUAGGAUAAGCGAUUAAAUGACAUCAGUGGUUUUUGAUCACUACGAGGUCAAUGGCGCGGAACAUAUUGGAGUUGCAGAGAAAUACCAUGGAGGGGAUUAAAGACAAGGAUCGAUGUGAAGGUCGGAGAAACAACAAUUCACAGUUCACCGGAUGAGACAGGUUCUGGUCAGAGGUCAUCUUCAUUGGAGAUG
Molecule: long non-coding RNA, 453 nt
Filed under: Brassica napus (rape)
Lineage: Eukaryota; Viridiplantae; Streptophyta; Magnoliopsida; Brassicales; Brassicaceae
Description: long non-coding RNA (BNAP_LNC026799)
Source: RNAcentral